Molecule: ribosomal RNA, 253 nt
Filed under: uncultured bacterium
Lineage: Bacteria
Description: partial 16S ribosomal RNA
Rfam family: Bacterial small subunit ribosomal RNA
Source: RNAcentral
UACGUAGGGGGCAAGCGUUAUCCGGAUUUACUGGGUGUAAAGGGAGCGUAGACGGCGCGGCAAGUCUGAAGUGAAAGGCAGGGGCUUAACCCCUGAACUGCUUUGGAAACUGGAGGACUGGAGAGCAGGAGAGGGCGGUGGAACUCUAUGUGUAGCGGUAAAAUGCGUAGAUAUAUGGAAGAACACCAGUGGCGAAGGCGGCCGCCUGGCCUGUUGCUGACGCUGAGGCACGAAAGCGUGGGGAUCGAACAGG